RNAcentral lists this ribosomal RNA (402 nucleotides) under uncultured prokaryote. RNAcentral's name for it is "bacterial SSU rRNA". It matches the Rfam family "Bacterial small subunit ribosomal RNA", at positions 355 to 774 of the family's 1533-position model. The record is from RNAcentral.
UAGGGAAUAUUAGAAAUGGACGAAAGUCUGAUCUAGCAACACCGCGUGUGCGAAGAAGGCCUUCGGGUUGUAAAGCACUUUUUGGAAGGAUUAGGAAGGAAUGUGCUUCCAGAAUAAGUCUCGGCUAACUACGUGCCAGCAGCCGCGGUAACACGUAGGAGGCAAACGUUAUCCGGAUUUACUGGGCGUAAAGCGCGUGUAGGUGGUUCUGUAAGUAGGGCGUGAAAGCUCCUGGCUCAACUGGGAGAGGCCGUUCUAAACUGCAGAGCUAGAGAAUGGGAGAGGGAGGUGGAAUUCCGGGUGUAGCGGUGGAAUGCGCAGAUAUCCGGAGGAACACCAGUGGCGAAAGCGGCCUCCUGGACCAUUCCUGACACUCAGACGCGAAAGCUAGGGUAGCAAACG